RNAcentral lists this ribosomal RNA (305 nucleotides) under uncultured bacterium. Its description in RNAcentral is "partial 16S ribosomal RNA". It matches the Rfam family "Bacterial small subunit ribosomal RNA", at positions 508 to 809 of the family's 1533-position model. The record is from RNAcentral.
ACAGCAGUAGCCGCGGUAAUACGAAGGGGGCUAGCGUUGUUCGGAAUUACUGGGCGUAAAGCGCACGUAGGCGGAUUUUUAAGUCAGGGGUGAAAUCCCGAGGCUCAACCUCGGAACUGCCUUUGAUACUGGGCGACUAGAGUGCGGUAGAGGAUAGUGGAAUUUCCGGUGUAGCAGUGAAAUGCGUAGAGAUCGGAAGGAACAUCUGUGGCGAAGGCGACUAUCUGGGCCAACACUGACACUGAGACACGAAAGCGUGGGGACCAAACAGGAUUAGAUACCCCGGUAGUCCCUGUCUCUUAUAU